CCUACGGGAGGCAGCAGUGGGGAAUAUUGCACAAUGGGGGAAACCCUGAUGCAGCGACGCCGCGUGAGUGAAGAAGUAUUUCGGUAUGUAAAGCUCUAUCAGCAGGGAAGAAGAAAGACGGUACCUGACUAAGAAGCUCCGGCUAACUACGUGUCAGCAGCCGCGGCAAUACGUAGGGGGCAAGCGUUAUCCGGAUUUACUGGGUGUAAAGGGAGCGUAGGCGGCUGUACAAGUCUGAAGUGAAAGCCCAGGGCUCAACCCUAGAACUGCUUUAGAAACUGUGGAGCUAGAGUGCUGGAGAGGUGAGUGGAAUUCCAAGUGUAGCGGUGGAAUGCGUAGAUAUUAGGAGGAACACCAGUGGCGAAGGCGGCUUACUGGACAGUAACUGACGUUGAGGCUCGAAAGCAUGGGGAGCAAACAGGAUUAGAUACCCUAGUAGUC
RNAcentral lists this ribosomal RNA (441 nucleotides) under uncultured bacterium. Its description in RNAcentral is "partial 16S ribosomal RNA". It matches the Rfam family "Bacterial small subunit ribosomal RNA", at positions 338 to 795 of the family's 1533-position model. The record is from RNAcentral.